RNAcentral lists this transfer RNA (71 nucleotides) under Micaelamys namaquensis (Namaqua Micaelamys). Its description in RNAcentral is "tRNA-Leu". It matches the Rfam family "tRNA". From Rfam's summary of the family: Transfer RNA (tRNA) molecules are approximately 80 nucleotides in length. Their secondary structure includes four short double-helical elements and three loops (D, anti-codon, and T loops). The record is from RNAcentral. Lineage: Eukaryota; Metazoa; Chordata; Mammalia; Rodentia; Muridae.
ACUUUUAUAGGACAAUAGUAAUCCAUUGGUCUUAGGAAUCAAAAAUCUUGGUGCAACUCCAAAUAAAAGUA